This is a non-coding RNA of Trichonephila inaurata madagascariensis, 72 nucleotides long. The record is from the annotation of a GenBank genome assembly. NCBI's taxonomy places the organism in Eukaryota, Metazoa, Arthropoda, Arachnida, Araneae, Nephilidae.
GUCCCUGUAGUGCAUGGAUAGCACGUUGGACUUCUAAUCUAAAGGAUAUGGGUUCGAAUCCCACCUGGGAUU